Long non-coding RNA from Amblyraja radiata (thorny skate), 370 nucleotides. RefSeq lists it as uncharacterized. NCBI's taxonomy places the organism in Eukaryota, Metazoa, Chordata, Chondrichthyes, Rajiformes, Rajidae. The transcript is spliced from 3 exons. The record is from RefSeq and is a predicted model, not a curated record.
CAAUGAAAGGACCUCCAUCUUAUUGAAGGUUUCUGAAGGGUCUCAAACAAGCCGCCCAGACAUGGUCACCACCACCUCUGCAACAAUAAACACAAGGGCUCGGACAACCCUGCCUCAAGAUGCACCAACCACCGAGGCAGCAAGUUCCACUGAGUCUCAGGGUUCAACACUUCCAAACAGGGACAUCGUGCUGAAUGUUCGCCGUGUUUGGGGUGUGUUACGCUGGGUAAUCUUUGGAGUUCUGCUUCUCUUCCCGGUUUCCAUCAGCUGUGUGACAACUUUUAAAAGGUAAAAGUUUGCAAUCUCUUCACUCUGGUGUUCACAUUAAAUUCAAUUGGAAAUGAUGGGAAUUUACUUUAGAAUUGUAGAG